RNAcentral lists this long non-coding RNA (399 nucleotides) under Homo sapiens (human). RNAcentral's name for it is "non-protein coding lnc-C6orf229-4:1". Lineage: Eukaryota; Metazoa; Chordata; Mammalia; Primates; Hominidae. The record is from RNAcentral.
CUGCGCGGUCAACGGUAGCGAGUACUUGAGGACCGUGGGGGUUUUCUGCGGGCUGGGAGGCCUGUGCCCUUUGACCCUCCCCUCCGACCCUGCUCUUGGAACUUCCUUAAAAUGCAAAGUUUUAGCCCUUUACGAAAGGGAGAAAGAUUUGCCUCCAUUAGUCGUUAGCACCAGAAGAACAAAAUAUUGUAUGUGCAUAUAUAUUAAUAUGUAGUACACGACAUAUAUUUGUGUAAAGCCCUGGCUCCACGGACUCGUAGUUGUAUUAGGGGCUUUUAUAUUUUGGCUUUUUGUGUUUUGACUAUGGUGUGGUGCGGUAGGAAUUGUUCAGGAGACAACCGAUUAUCAGUUAAUCCUGCAGCUAUUCAUUGAGCGCCUUAUACGUGCCAAUUACUACUG